RNAcentral lists this ribosomal RNA (497 nucleotides) under uncultured bacterium. RNAcentral describes it as "partial 16S ribosomal RNA". It matches the Rfam family "Bacterial small subunit ribosomal RNA", at positions 28 to 507 of the family's 1533-position model. The record is from RNAcentral.
GACGAACGCUGGCGGCGUGCCUAAUACAUGCAAGUUGAGCGCUGAAGGUUGGUACUUGUACCAACUGGAUGAGCAGCGAACGGGUGAGUAACGCGUGGGGAAUCUGCCUUUGAGCGGGGGACAACAUUUGGAAACGAAUGCUAAUACCGCAUAAAAACUUUAAACACAAGUUUUAAGUUUGAAAGAUGCAAUUGCAUCACUCAAAGAUGAUCCCGCGUUGUAUUAGCUAGUUGGUGAGGUAAAGGCUCACCAAGGCGAUGAUACAUAGCCGACCUGAGAGGGUGAUCGGCCACAUUGGGACUGAGACACGGCCCAAACUCCUACGGGAGGCAGCGGUAGGGAAUCUUCGGCAAUGGACGAAAGUCUGACCGAGCAACGCCGCGUGAGUGAAGAAGGUUUUCGGAUCGUAAAACUCUGUUGGUAGAGAAGAACGUUGGUGAGAGUGGAAAGCUCAUCAAGUGACGGUAACUACCCAGAAAGGGACGGCUAACUACGUG